This is a long non-coding RNA of Manis javanica (Malayan pangolin), 523 nucleotides long. RefSeq lists it as uncharacterized. Lineage: Eukaryota; Metazoa; Chordata; Mammalia; Pholidota; Manidae. The record is from RefSeq and is a predicted model, not a curated record.
GAAUGUGUCUCCUCCACAAGGAAGUUGCAAACUCAAGGGACACUGAGGUCCUUCAGCAAUUCCGAAUACUGCAGAGAGGAGGACAAGAAGGCCACAACUAGGACAAAGAGGGACAGGCUUUAGGUGGGAUGACCAGACUAGAGAAGACAGAGAUCAGGGUGCUGGCACAGCCAGAAAACCAGGUUUGGCAACCACACCAGCUCUACCACCUCUUUCCUCAUGAUGGGGCACCUUCCUCAGUGGCAGCAAAAACAGAUGAGCAAUAAAGGCUGUUUCCACUUCUUUCAACAGAAAGACCGGUGGGGUCACAAAGGCCUCGCCGCUGAGCCGAGAGCCCCCUUCUCUCAAUCCUUGUUUUCCUGCCUGCCCAGCAAUGGCCUUAGGUAAGAGAUGCCACAGGAAUCCAAAAACCUUUGAGACUUUUUUCUAACGAGGCCCUCAGCUAAGAAGAUACACAGUGCCAGAGGUCCUGAGAACUUCUGCACCUGCCCAUCCUUACCAGCCAUGUGGGUGCCCCUUUAAG